GAUCAUGGCUCAGGAUGAACGCUAGCUACAGGCUUAACACAUGCAAGUCGAGGGGCAGCAUGGUCUUAGCUUGCUAAGGCUGAUGGCGACCGGCGCACGGGUGAGUAACACGUAUCCAACCUGCCGUCUAUUCUUGGCCAGCCUUCUGAAAGGAAGAUUAAUCCAGGAUGGGAUCAAAUGAGUUCACAUGUCCGCAUGAUUAAAGGUAUUUUCCGGUAGACGAUGGGGA
This 229-nucleotide ribosomal RNA is filed under the name uncultured bacterium. RNAcentral's name for it is "partial 16S ribosomal RNA". It matches the Rfam family "Bacterial small subunit ribosomal RNA", at positions 15 to 231 of the family's 1533-position model. The record is from RNAcentral.